UGUAACUGUGGUAAGGGCCGUGUCCUGUUCGUUCUGGACUGAGUUUAGGUAACAUUUUAAACAGAAAUGUGUUUUAAGAGCACUUAUUUAUGUUCUGCAAGUUCUUUGUGUGCGUCAAUCGUCGGGACGACGAUUCAAAAGGGAGGGGUAUAAUGUAGCAGUGCGCGCCUGCUGCCUUCUGCCACCAGGUGGCGCCUGGGCUUAUAAAAGGGCACUCCCCGUAGCGUCUCGUUCUCUGACCUCGGCGCACUUCCGGGAUAGGGCUCCGCCUUGUCGCGCACAGUGCCACCGCUCCUAGAGUCUCGACGUGCCUGAUCGAAGUUAUGGCUCGUGAGUAAAGCUCCUGCAUGUAUUUGCUGUUGAUCGCCACAAGCGCCACUGUUAGCCGCUGUCCACGGUUGGGUCGGUGUUGCUGUCAGAUGCCCCGGCCGCUCGGCGUCAAGCCUCGUGGAUGUAGAAGCGUGUGUUUUGUGGGUCCAGGGUGGUCUUCGGCACGUCAUCUGGUGGAGCGGUGGCCCUGUGAACGAGCUGCUGCUUUGUUUUACUGUGUUUUUUUAAUUUUAAGGACAAAAUCACCGUACAGCUGCUUUUGGUGACUGUGUUAUCGGCAGUUAUGUGAACAGUGAAUAGUCUACUCUUAAAGUUAAUCUAACAAAUGAAUUAUGGCAAUAAUAAAUAAUUUCAUGUUUUGUAAGUCACUUGUCUCUGUCUGUCAAUUAACGAACCUGUGAGCCUUUUAGUUUAGUAAAUUUAGUUUUAGUUCUGGGCUACGCCCAGUGGCGUUGUUGGUUUUAUGUUGAUUAUCUUACUUUGGGGUGCUCCUCACACCCCUCCCGGAUGCCCCG
Long non-coding RNA from Boleophthalmus pectinirostris (great blue-spotted mudskipper), 845 nucleotides. RefSeq lists it as uncharacterized. The transcript has 3 exons. The record is from RefSeq and is a predicted model, not a curated record. Lineage: Eukaryota; Metazoa; Chordata; Actinopteri; Gobiiformes; Gobiidae.